AUUAGUAGACAUAAAACUGAAAGCUAGUGGUUUUACACAUUGCAUAAUAUCUUCGCGCGUAUUCAUGCAGUGGAAGCAGUAACAUGGACUCCAUUUGUACUUGCUUACUCAGACAGUGACUGAAAACAAAACCUACUAGGAUUCUAUUGUUAGACGGAGUGAGGACCCUAAUAAAGGUGUGUUUUACAGAUGUGACUAACUGUGUUUGCAACCAGCAAAACAGCACCGCGUUGCAAAGACACGAGAGAGGCAUUCCUGCAAAACUGAGGAGACAUUCACAUCAACAUACAUCAGCUCUGUAGGUCGAUGCAGUGAAGAAUGUCAAGAUCAGCAGCUGGUGUGUCACUGGUGGUUACUGUGACACUCUUGUGUCUUUCAGUGGGUGUGAUUCAAUCCACAGCCAGUGCAACGCAGGACGUCUUCCAGGCAGAGGAGGGCAGUAACGUCACACUGACAUGCCUCUUUCAUCUCAAGACUCACACGCCUGCCACCUCGCUGUAUAUAGACAUUAUAUGUGAGAACCUAAAGAGGUCGAUCUACCGUUAUGACAGUGAGUUCGAGGCUGAGCCGUAUGAAGAUGAGCUCUACAGAGGACGAGUGUUGUGCGAUCUAGAGCUCCUCAAGAAAGGACGGAUUGAAUGUCUCUUCACUGAUCUGAGACUCAACGACACGAGCACCUAUGUCUUUAUUGUUGUGAUUAACGAAGAUAGUCACAGCAAGAGAUGUGGGCUCAAUGUUACAGAGACGCCGCCGCAUCCCACAAGAGAUGUCCAAACUCCAGGUUCAAAUGAGACGGAUGUUAAAGGUGGUCGGCUCCGUCUGAUCGUUCUGGUCCCGGUUCUGGUUCUGGUCCUGAUCCUGGGCGGAGGAGUCGCUGGAUAUUUACUCAAACACAAGUGUCAAAAACAAAAUCGUCCGGAGUAUUUCGUCGCCCCAACCGAACCUCUUCCAGUCCAGGUGCUUUGCGCAGAGGCGACGUCGGUAGUUUAAUGGAGAGCAGCCCGUCCAGCCAGCCACAAGUGGACCGACCAGAUCAGCAGCGUGACGGAUACGGAUCGCCGUCGGAGAGAAUGUACACAUUCCGGAGUAUGACGUCGCCCCAACCGAACCUCUUCCAGUCUAGGUGCCUUGCUCAGAGGCACGUCGGUAGUGUAAUGGAGAGCAGCGUGUCCAGCCAGCCACAAGUGGACCAACCGGAUCAGCAGCGUGACGGAUACAGAUCGCCGUCGGAGAGAACGUACAGUAAGUCUGAUUAGAAGAUGACCUUUUUAACGCCCGCUGUGUGACUUUGCACCAAAACGCUGGAGGAAUCCGGGCUUCACGUUAAAAGGUUUAGACUGAGAGAAGAGCUGUGAACUCUCUUCAGCACCAGGAUCACGUUUCAUCUACUUUUUCUAUCAAGAGAAGACGGACUUAAUGGCAGCACUACUUUUAUUUAUUAUAAAUGUUAUUAUACUUUUAGAGUUACAGUUUGAC
RNA transcript from Sebastes umbrosus (honeycomb rockfish), 1476 nucleotides. RefSeq lists it as uncharacterized. The transcript has 7 exons. The record is from RefSeq and is a predicted model, not a curated record. Lineage: Eukaryota; Metazoa; Chordata; Actinopteri; Perciformes; Sebastidae.